AGCGAACGCUGGCGGCAGGCCUAACACAUGCAAGUCGAACGAACUCUUCGGAGUUAGUGGCGGACGGGUGAGUAACACGUGGGAACGUGCCUUUUGGUUCGGAAUAACUCAGGUAAACUUGUGCUAAUACCGAAUGCGCCCUUCGGGGGAACGAUUUAUCGCGAUUAGAGCGGCCCGCGUCUGAUUAGCUAGUUGGUGAUGUAACGGCUAACCAAGGAGACGUUCAUUAGCUGGUCGGAGAGGAUGACCCGCUACAAUGGGACUGAGACACGGCCCAGACUCCUACGGGAGGCAGCGGUGGGGAAUCUUGCGGAAUGGGCGCAAGCCUGACGCAGCCAUGCGGGGUGAAUGAUGAAGGUGUUAGGAUUGUAAAAUUCUUUCACCGGGGACGAUAAUGACGGUACCCGGAGAAGAAGCCCCGGCUAACUUCGUG
RNAcentral lists this ribosomal RNA (433 nucleotides) under uncultured bacterium. Its description in RNAcentral is "partial 16S ribosomal RNA". It matches the Rfam family "Bacterial small subunit ribosomal RNA", at positions 29 to 507 of the family's 1533-position model. The record is from RNAcentral.